This 842-nucleotide long non-coding RNA is filed under the name Carica papaya (papaya). Its description in RNAcentral is "long non-coding RNA (CPAP_LNC012062)". The record is from RNAcentral. Lineage: Eukaryota; Viridiplantae; Streptophyta; Magnoliopsida; Brassicales; Caricaceae.
UCCUGUUGUAUAAUCUCCUCAUGUCUUCUUCCUAUGUUCAUAAUUCAGUAUGGUCCAAAAGAACUAGAAGGGGCAUCAAAAUUAGCGUGAGUUUUUAGAAUUCACCUUAAUCGUUGUUUAUGUAAGGUUAACAAAUCAUCUAACAUAAUGCCAGUAAAUUACAGAAGUUUUUGGUUCAUCUAAACCUAGUGAGCUUUAGUGCAUAUCUUUGGCAAAUAACUCCAACGUGAAAGAAUUGAGUUUGGUGACUGAAUAUUUCAAAAGUUUAACUUGAUAGGAAAUAAUUUUAUAAUUUAUAACUAAUUUUAUUGACUUUAAAGCAUAAGCGAAACACAAAUCUGUCUUAUCCCUGUGAGAGUGUACUAUGUGGGCUAAAACAAAGAAUAAAGUUAUCUCCAUGGCAACAAAGAGGAAGCUUGAUUUAGACCUAAAAAAUAGAACAAUAAUUAUUUUUUUAAUUAUAGUUUAUAACUAAUUUCAUUGACUUUAAAGCAUAAGCGUCUGUCUUAUCCCUGUAAGAGUAUACUAUGUGGGCUAAUCCAAAGAAUAAAGUUAUUUCCAUGGCAACAAAGAGGAAGCUUGAUUUAGACCUAAAAAAUAGAACAAUCAUUAUUUUUUUAGACAAUGAUAUCACAAGAUAAGCUAUUGAGGCAAGUGUUUUAAGCAUAUAACUCAAAUAAUAAUUUAUAAAUAAUAAAUUUGAUGGUUCUUUAUAACUUAAACCUUUAGGAAAGCUGCACAACUUAAUAAUUAUACACGGUAAUGCCAGGAAUUUUUCCUCUAAAAAAAAACAAAGAGUUUCAAUCUUAACUAAUCUGUGAACAAUAAGCUACUGAAUUCAC